Microplitis mediator is the source of this 355-nucleotide long non-coding RNA. RefSeq lists it as uncharacterized. The transcript is spliced from 3 exons. The record is from RefSeq and is a predicted model, not a curated record. Lineage: Eukaryota; Metazoa; Arthropoda; Insecta; Hymenoptera; Braconidae.
CAUUGUCGAAUGCUUCCUUACUUGUGUGAGUUCUCACGUUCAAAGUUAUGUAACAAAAAAAAACGAAGACAAUUUUUCAGUGGCAUUGAAAUACUGAUAAGAACAAAAUUGCCCAAGAUUUACUUUACCACAAAAUGUUUAACAUCAAGUUGUUCUUAUUGUUAAUUUUGGCCGUGGCUCUGUUUGCUGCCAAAGCGUACGCUUGCAUUGCAGACGGCGAUCCUUGCGAAGAAGACAAGUUAUGUUGCAGCGAAGCUUGUUACAAUGAUGCUACUAUGACAGUGCCGCAUUUUUGUGGUAAAACUUUCAAAUAGAUUCCGAUAAUUAUUUAUUCUCCGAUCAUCAUUUUAACACA